UUGUGAGAAGAGCCACAAGAUGGAGGAAGACUCCGAGAGGGACCCGUGAACAACACACACCGGGCGCCAAGGGAAUUUUCUCGCGUCGGACCCCAUGCCAAUCAAUCCCUGAAAAUGGCGCCCGCGAGACCUCCACUCCACACGACCAUCUCUCGACCGCACGCUGAGCGCGAGAUAUAGGUAGCCGCCACGCGCCCAUGCCCGGCGGGGUCGAGCGCCCAGCAUGGACAGAUGCAGAGCACCCGAGGCCAAGCCACCGGAUCACGCAGAUGCCGACGACUCCGAUGAGCUCAGCGUCUUUGCCGCCGAGCGCUACUUCUACGGAGACGACGCGCUGCUGUGGCCGUGCGAGCGCUCCUCGUCUUCGCUGUCGUCGUCCGCGUUCCGGACGGGGACGCACGAGCACGACCGGUCCGUCCCGACGCCGACGGCCGUCACUAGCUCGUCCGAAGCAAGCUGGAACAGCCGCUCCGCUCUGCUGCCCAAUGAGCCGGCCGAGAAGUUGCACGCUGUCGCUGUCGCUGUCGCCGCCGCCGCCACUCCGAUCAUCGAAGCGAGCCCUUCCGGGGAUGAAGGUCAGCGGGGCGGACGCAGGCCCGCUUCGUCGUCUAACCUGCGGCGGUGGCUGCUCGGAGUGGCGGCGUGCGCUUGCGCCGGCGGAGAUUCCGAGGAGUCAGUGGGCGCCGACGAACUGGAGACGAGCGAGCGGUUCCCGGAAACAGAGAUCCCGGCGGAGGUCACCGCCGCGAGAUCGAGUGUGACGCCUGCGAGUGGCAGAUGCCUCCUCGAAGGCGACAAAACAACCCUUGCCGGAAUGGAUGGCCACCGCCGUGCCACCAACAAGGUUGAAGUAUCUACGCCAAUCUUGCAUCACCAAGCAGUAGCCACCUCCGACUCCGACGAGCGGCGGCGGCGCAUCAAAUCAUUGGAAAUGUUCCGGCCGGUGCCGGUGGGCGACCGUGGGAGCGCGCUCGGUUCAGCGACGCAAAGCUCUGCUUUUACAAUCGUCGCCGGAAACACGGCUCUGGGCGGUGAUGGCGACGCGCCGCGCGCGCCCAGCGGCGGCGGAGGGACCCCUGGCGAGGACGACGCGGCUCCGAGCGAGCUUGGGUGCGCGUACCCACCUAGCGAGGCCAGCGUUGUCUGGAGCGUGGUCACCGCGGACGGCGCGGCGUCCGGCAACUUCUCCAGCGCGGCGUCGGGGUACUACUACCACUACUGCUUCAACGACGUCGACGAAGGUGCGAUGCGGCGCACCGCUGCCAGGAACACUCGCAAGAGGAGAACCGGAAUGCUAAUGUGCAUGAGCGAGAAGGCAGUCGACGCUGUUGGGCCAGCUCGGUCCGUUCACCGGCAGGAGGUCCAGCCAGCUGCCGUGCCAACGCUGGGAGCUUCUCGCGGCAGCCGGAACGGCCAUGGACGUGAUUCGCCGCCGGUAGUCAGGUACUCCAGUAGGUUGGAUCUGGAGGCACCCGGCCGCCGGUAGAGCACUUGAGCUGUGCUCUGUGGACAGGGCUGCCUGUAAGGGCUAGAUGUUUGAUUUGGGCAAGUUCUUCGAGGAUUGUUUCUUGUGAGAAAAAGAGAACAAUCGUGUUCGACAUAAAAGUAUAUGUGUGAAGGAAAAACAUUUGAAGUGCCGGAUAAUCAAGAUGCUUACAUUGGUUUACAAACGAACUUUACACUCCAGAACUGAACUUCCGGAUGAUCUUUCAUUUAAAUCCGAAAUGUUACAACCGAAUUUU
RNA transcript from Sorghum bicolor (sorghum), 1742 nucleotides. RefSeq lists it as uncharacterized. The transcript is spliced from 2 exons. The record is from RefSeq and is a predicted model, not a curated record. Lineage: Eukaryota; Viridiplantae; Streptophyta; Magnoliopsida; Poales; Poaceae.